GACGAACGCUGGCGGCGUGCUUAACACAUGCAAGUCGAACGGAAAGGCCCUGCUUGCAGGGUGCUCGAGUGGCGAACGGGUGAGUAACACGUGGGUGAUCUGCCCCUUACUUUGGGAUAAGCCUGGGAAACUGGGUCUAAUACUGGAUAGGACCAUGCUGUAGGUGGUGUGGUGGAAAGAUUAGUUUCGGUAAGGGAUGAGCUCGCGGCCUAUCAGCUUGUUGGUGGGGUAAUGGCCUACCAAGGCGUCGACGGGUAGCCGGCCUGAGAGGGUGGACGGCAACAUUGGGAGUGAGAUACGGCCCAGACUCCUACGGGAGGCAGCAGUGGGGAAUAUUGCAAAAUGGGCGCAAGCCUGAUGAAGCGACGCCGCGUGGGGGAUGACGGCCUUCGGGUUGUAAACUCCUUUCAGCCAUGACGAAGCCCUUGUGGUGACGGUAGUGGUAGAAGAAGCACCGGCUAACUACGUG
This 469-nucleotide ribosomal RNA is filed under the name uncultured bacterium. Its description in RNAcentral is "partial 16S ribosomal RNA". It matches the Rfam family "Bacterial small subunit ribosomal RNA", at positions 28 to 507 of the family's 1533-position model. The record is from RNAcentral.